This 206-nucleotide long non-coding RNA is filed under the name Lathyrus oleraceus (garden pea). RNAcentral describes it as "Pisum sativum (pea) long non-coding RNA (PSAT_LNC023747)". Lineage: Eukaryota; Viridiplantae; Streptophyta; Magnoliopsida; Fabales; Fabaceae. The record is from RNAcentral.
UUUAUCCCGAAUUCAAUUAUAAAAAAUUUAAUUUGAUUAAGAAAAUAAAUUAAAUAAUAUGCAAUUUAAUAUAUCCCUUAUCCCAAUUUUAUCCCUUAGUUAAUUUACAAAACUAUGAUGAUUAUUUUAAUUUUAGAAAAUAAACCCAAAACAAUAUUUUAUAGGAUUAUAAAGUAACAAAAUAUCAUAUCCCUUAUCCAUGAUUA